Molecule: ribosomal RNA, 437 nt
Filed under: Pseudomonas aeruginosa
Lineage: Bacteria; Pseudomonadati; Pseudomonadota; Gammaproteobacteria; Pseudomonadales; Pseudomonadaceae
Description: bacterial LSU rRNA
Rfam family: Bacterial large subunit ribosomal RNA
Source: RNAcentral
ACGGCGGUGUUUGGCACCUCGAUGUCGGCUCAUCACAUCCUGGGGCUGAAGCCGGUCCCAAGGGUAUGGCUGUUCGCCAUUUAAAGUGGUACGCGAGCUGGGUUUAGAACGUCGUGAGACAGUUCGGUCCCUAUCUGCCGUGGACGUUUGAGAUUUGAGAGGGGCUGCUCCUAGUACGAGAGGACCGGAGUGGACGAACCUCUGGUGUUCCGGUUGUCACGCCAGUGGCAUUGCCGGGUAGCUAUGUUCGGAAAAGAUAACCGCUGAAAGCAUCUAAGCGGGAAACUUGCCUCAAGAUGAGAUCUCACUGGGAACUUGAUUCCCCUGAAGGGCCGUCGAAGACUACGACGUUGAUAGGCUGGGUGUGUAAGCGUUGUGAGGCGUUGAGCUAACCAGUACUAAUUGCCCGUGAGGCUUGACCAUAUAACACCCAAACA